This 1081-nucleotide small RNA is filed under the name Pan troglodytes (chimpanzee). RNAcentral's name for it is "retained intron". The record is from RNAcentral. Lineage: Eukaryota; Metazoa; Chordata; Mammalia; Primates; Hominidae.
CGGGCUCCCUCGGGUACCGGCGCUGCCGCACCCCGCAGCGCUCCCGCACCCACGGCCCGCCCACCGCGCCGCUCCCGCAUCUGCACCCGCAGCCCGGCGGCCUCCCGGCGGGAGCGAGCAGAUCCAGUUCAGCCCUCAGCGCAACUCGGUCCAGUCGGGGCGGCGGCUGCGGGCGCAGAGCGGAGAUGCAGCGGCUUGGGGCCACCCUGCUGUGCCUGCUGCUGGCGGCGGCGGUCCCCACGGCCCCCGCGCCCGCUCCGACGGCGACCUCGGCUCCAGUCAAGCCCGGCCCGGCUCUCAGCUACCCGCAGGAGGAGGCCACCCUCAAUGAGAUGUUCCGCGAGGUUGAGGAACUGAUGGAGGACACGCAGCACAAAUUGCGCAGCGCGGUGAAAGAGAUGGAGGCAGAAGAAGCGGCUGCUAAAGCGUCAUCAGAAGUGAACCUGGCAAACUUACCUCCCAGCUAUCACAAUGAGACCAACACAGACACGAAGGUUGGAAAUAAUACCAUCCAUGUGCACCGAGAAAUUCACAAGGUAAGUCAUGGCCAGCACUUCCUCCUUUCUAUAGCAUCCAGUCCCAUCAGAGAACUAAGGUUUUUUUGUUUUUUCAUAUGUGAUAUACAAGCCCAAACUACAAUCGAGAAUCAUAAAAUAUGGAUUGAAAACCAGAAAGAGUAAUGUUACUGUUGAAAGUGGGGAGACAAUGUAUCAGGAUCCUAAACUGCUUUUGCAUUUAAGCAAUAUAUUUAACCCUAGGCUUCCUGCCAGUCCAGUUGCAAAGGAAUGUCCAGGGAUUAUCAUUUGAAAAAAAGAAAGCAAAUGAAUGUCUAAAAAGACCCUUUCCUAGCAUUGAAUUUGUGGAAUUGAUCUAUCUCAUAGGUUUUUAUGUAUGUCUCAGUAGGGAUUGAACUACAGACCACGUUAUGGUGAAUUGACCCUCACUUUUUUUUAGGAGGAAUGUAAAUAUGAUAUACCCCAUUUCCAAAAGAGAAACCCUCUAUUGCUACAAAAUUAAACAUUCAUUUGCUGGUUGUGCGUUCAAAAUUCUAUAGCAGAUUUUUCCCCAAACUACCACCUGU